Wyeomyia smithii (pitcher-plant mosquito) is the source of this 676-nucleotide long non-coding RNA. RefSeq lists it as uncharacterized. The record is from RefSeq and is a predicted model, not a curated record. NCBI's taxonomy places the organism in Eukaryota, Metazoa, Arthropoda, Insecta, Diptera, Culicidae. The transcript has 4 exons.
AAAACGAUAAAUAUAUUUCUAUUACUUAUCGAUAGUCAGUAUAAUUGGACUUAGUCAAAUAGCGAUAUAUAAACUACUUAACAAUUAUCUAUCUAUCUGCUAAACUGAUUGCACUGCCCGCGCAACUAAGUAGAACAUAACAAAUGAAUCUAUCUGACAACAUGGUUGUUCUGUCACAGUUGAUUCUGCUCUAGUGCUAUUGGUGGAACGACUGGAAAGAGAAUUGUUUACCAAAACAGUGUUGUUGUGAUAACCUCACAAGUAUUUCAACACGCCAGACUUGGAGGGAUAUCACUCACCUAGCGGGCGUUAUUUCCAGGAUCGUACUAAGGGGGUCUGAGUUGCAAUGGCUAUUUCUACGGUUGGCAAAGUCAACACAUUGCAAUUGGAACUUAAGGUUACAAAUGUGUAUUUCAACACGCCAGACUUGGAGGGAUAUCACUCACCUAGCGGGCGUUAUUUCCAGGAUCGUACUAAGGGGGUCUGAGUUGCAAUGGCUAUUUCUACGGUUGGCAAAGUCAACACAUUGCAAUUGGAACUUAAGGUUACAAAUGUGUUUUUUUUAAUUGUGCGUACAUGGAUUUUUUCAUCCUUACAUGUUUAUUUAAAGUAAUUUCGUGAAAGUGGGCACGUCCCGCAACGUUGGCUUAAACGACUAUUCUACUGAGAGCUGGCG